Acinonyx jubatus (cheetah) is the source of this 900-nucleotide long non-coding RNA. RefSeq lists it as uncharacterized. The transcript has 2 exons. NCBI's taxonomy places the organism in Eukaryota, Metazoa, Chordata, Mammalia, Carnivora, Felidae. The record is from RefSeq and is a predicted model, not a curated record.
CUACAUCCUUUGCCAGGCACUGGCUCCCAUUCUUUAUUUUCGGCUCCCAUCUUUAACAAGAGUUGUUAACAAUCUCUUGAGCAUUGGGAGUGUCAGGUUUCUUUCCCAUGAACCACUUAGGAGUAGCAGUCUGGUGGAAAGGGGAAGCUACAGGACUUGUCUUUUUUUUUUUUUUUUUUUUUUUUUAGUGUUUAUUUACUUUUGAGAGAGAGAGACAGAGCGUGAGCAGGGGGAGGGGGAGUGGCAGAGAGAGAGGGAGACACAGAAUCUGAAGCAGGCUCCAGACUCCGAGCUGUCAGCACAGAGCCCUGACGUGGGGCUCGAAUUCACGAAAGAUGAGAUCAUGACCUGAGCCAAAGUCGGAUGCUUAACCGACUGAGCCACAGGCACCCCGCUACAAGACUUGUCUUAACUUCAUGUUGUUUCUGCAUAAAGAACGCCCAGUGAUGCUUGCCUACCAUCAAGUUUCAACAGCACGACAAUCAGGCAGCUUCCCAGUGAGUUUCAACAGAAUUCUUGUGACUUCGCAUUUAAUUCUGCCAGCAUCCUUGUGAGCAGUUUCCUGGAAUCUCAGUGGUUUUCUGGAGAGUUUGUCAGCACUCCAACUCAGCAGUCCAGCCCACAGUUUCCUGCAUUCCAGUCUCAAUGCGCAGCAAUUCAUCAAACUUCAUCAUCCAGUGACAUCAUCUGUCAUACACUCUUCCAUAAAGUCCAAUUAUUAGUCUUGGAGGAAAGGGGCCUCUUCCAAACUCGUUCCUUCCUUGAGCACAUUGCCUCAACCUUAGAAGCCGUGGCUGCUCCCUAUAUCUGCUACUGUAUUGUUUUAGAGUUCUUUUUACCCCUUAGUAGUUAAUCCCAUUACUAGUUAAUAUUUCUUUAUAUUAAAUUUUCCCUGUUUAA